GACGAACGCUGGCGGCGUGCUUAACACAUGCAAGUCGAACGAAGAGCGAUGGAAGCUUGCUUCUAUCAAUCUUAGUGGCGAACGGGUGAGUAACGCGUAAUCAACCUGCCCUUCAGAGGGGGACAACAGUUGGAAACGACUGCUAAUACCGCAUACGAUCUGACCUCGGCAUCUAGGAUAGAUGAAAGGUGGCCUCUACAUGUAAGCUAUCACUGAAGGAGGGGAUUGCGUCUGAUUAGCUAGUUGGAGGGGUAACGGCCCACCAAGGCGAUGAUCAGUAGCCGGUCUGAGAGGAUGAAAGGCCACAUUGGGACUGAGACACGGCCCAGACUACUACGGGAGGCAGCAGUGGGGAAUCUUCCGAAAUGGAAGAAAGUCUGACGGAGCAACGCCGCGUGAGUGAUGACGGCCUUCGGGUUGUAAAGCUCUGUUAAUCGGGACGAAAGGCCUUUUUGCGAAUAGGGAGAAGGAUUGACGGUACCGGAAUAGAAAGCCACGGCUAACUACGUG
Molecule: ribosomal RNA, 510 nt
Filed under: uncultured bacterium
Lineage: Bacteria
Description: partial 16S ribosomal RNA
Rfam family: Bacterial small subunit ribosomal RNA
Source: RNAcentral